This is a non-coding RNA of Macaca mulatta (Rhesus monkey), 308 nucleotides long. The record is from RefSeq and is a predicted model, not a curated record. NCBI's taxonomy places the organism in Eukaryota, Metazoa, Chordata, Mammalia, Primates, Cercopithecidae.
UGCGCGGGAGAAUGUCCCUGGACAGGGCGUGACGCUAAACCUAGGUCGCACGAGGCCUCUCAGAGAUUCCUCCCACCACAAAGCCCCAUCACAGUACAGAAGGCUUUUUGCAAAAUAGGAAUUUCUCAGCUUUUCCGAAGAGGUUCCUAAAUGUGGCUGUAACCCUGACGUGAGGCUGAUGCAUUGGACCACACUUGAAUGCAAGCUGGUUGUUGUCUGUGAAGUCGCGACUGCAAACGAGAGCCUGUUGGAAAGGAUAUGUUUUUGAAAUGUGUACCUAAAAGAGAAUAAACAUGAUAGGGCCAAUA